UAGGGAGGAGGUAGUGUAGUUAACACCUGCACUAUUUGUACGUUACCUACAGAAAGAAGCACCGGCUAACUCCGUGCCAGCAGCCGCGGUAAUACGGAGGGUGCGAGCGUUAAUCGGAAUUACUGGGCGUAAAGCGCAUGCAGGCGGCCUGUUAAGUCAGAUGUGAAAGCCCCGGGGCUUAACCUCGGAAUUGCAUUUGAAACUGGCAGGCUAGAGUCUUGUAGAGGGGGUAGAAUUUCAGGUGUAGCGGUGAAAUGCGUAGAGAUCUGAAGGAAUACCAGUGGCGAAGGCGGCCCCCUGGACAAAGACUGACGCUCAGAUGCGAAAGCGUGGGGAGCAAACAGGAUUAGAUACCCUGGUAG
This 362-nucleotide ribosomal RNA is filed under the name uncultured bacterium. Its description in RNAcentral is "bacterial SSU rRNA". It matches the Rfam family "Bacterial small subunit ribosomal RNA", at positions 440 to 793 of the family's 1533-position model. The record is from RNAcentral.